AGUGAACGCUGGCGGUAGGCCUAACACAUGCAAGUCGAACGGCAGCACAGUAAGAGUUUGCUCUUACGGGUGGCGGGUGGCGGACGGGUGACGAAUGCAUCGGAAUCUACUUUUUCGUGGGGGAUAACGUAGGGAAACUUACGCUAAUACCGCAUACGACCUACGGGUGAAAGCAGGGGAUAUUCGGACCUUUCGCGAUUGAAUGAGCCGAUGUCGGAUUAGCUAGUUGGCUGGGUAAAGGCCCACCAAGGCGAGGAUCCGUAGCUGGUCUGAGAGGAUGGUCGGCCCCACUGGAACUGAGACACGGUCCAGACUCCUACGGGAGGCCGCAGUGGGGAACAUGGGACAAUGGGCGCAAGCCUGAUGCAGCCCGCCCGCGUGGGUGAAGAAGGUCUUCGGGUUGUAAAGCCCGUUUGUUGGGAAAGAAAAGCAGCAGGGUGAUACGCCGCUGUUCUGACGGUACCCAAAGAAGAAGCACCGGCUAACUACGUG
This 492-nucleotide ribosomal RNA is filed under the name uncultured bacterium. RNAcentral describes it as "partial 16S ribosomal RNA". It matches the Rfam family "Bacterial small subunit ribosomal RNA", at positions 29 to 507 of the family's 1533-position model. The record is from RNAcentral.